This 555-nucleotide ribosomal RNA is filed under the name Triticum aestivum (bread wheat). RNAcentral's name for it is "partial small subunit ribosomal RNA". Lineage: Eukaryota; Viridiplantae; Streptophyta; Magnoliopsida; Poales; Poaceae. The record is from RNAcentral.
AUGGAUGCAGCUUGGAAUAAACAGGAACAAUCAAGUGUGAAUGGAACAGGGAAAACAGGUAUAGGGAUAUCCAUAGAAGGACAAGAAGGACGAACAAAAUGGCAGAUCAAGAUUUCCGCAACAGCAAUGCAAGCUCAAUCAGCGAUACAUGCCGAAGCUUUGGCGAUCAAGUUAGCAGCCAUCAUCAUAAACAUGACAGGAAUACAUGAGGCUGCCAUUCUAACGGAUAAUUUAACUUUAGCAAAAGCAGCAGCGGCAAGGGAACCAACCAGGCAUUCUGGACACUGGAUGAUUAGAGGUAUAUUAGCAGAUUUCUGUGCCCUCACAAGCUCAAGCCAUGUCCAGGUAUUCCAUGUAAGAAGGAACCACAACUCGGUAGCUCAUGAUGCAGCAAAGCUAGCUUAUUCGCAGGAAUUUAAUCCAAAUCAACACUGUGUAACUACUUGUACUAUUGCUGAACAUCAACGCUGGCAUCAUUCCCUGAAGCAGGUUAUCCAAGAUGUAUCACAAAAGGGAUAUGCCAUUAAUCAUGUAAGCUGUUGUUAUAAUGAAUGA